AUACGUAGGGUGCAAGCGUUAAUCGGAAUUACUGGGCGUAAAGCGUGCGCAGGCGGUUUUGUAAGACAGUGGUGAAAUCCCCGGACUCAACCUGGGAACUGCCAUUGUUACUGCAAGGCUGGAGUGCGGCAGAGGGGGAUGGGAUUCCGCGUGUAACCGUGAAAUGCGUAGAUAUGCGGAGGAACACCGAUGGCGAAGGCAAUCCCCUGGGCCUGCACUGACGCUCAUGCACGAAAGCGUGGGGAGCAAACAGGAUUAGAUACCCUGGUAGUCCACGCCCUAAACGAUGUCAACUGGUUGUUGGGGAUUUAUUUUCUCAGUAACGAAGCUAACGCGUGAAGUUGACCGCCUGGGGAGUACGGCCGCAAGGUUAAAACUCAAAGGAAUUGACGGGG
RNAcentral lists this ribosomal RNA (395 nucleotides) under uncultured bacterium. RNAcentral's name for it is "partial 16S ribosomal RNA". It matches the Rfam family "Bacterial small subunit ribosomal RNA", at positions 523 to 918 of the family's 1533-position model. The record is from RNAcentral.